GUACACACCGCCCGUCAAGCCAUGGAAGCCGGGGGUGCCUGAAGUGCGUGACCGCAAGGAGCGCCCUAGGGUAAAACCGGUGACUGGGGCUAAGUCGUAACAAGGUAAC
RNAcentral lists this ribosomal RNA (109 nucleotides) under uncultured bacterium. RNAcentral describes it as "partial 16S ribosomal RNA". It matches the Rfam family "Bacterial small subunit ribosomal RNA", at positions 1383 to 1500 of the family's 1533-position model. The record is from RNAcentral.